GCCAGCCCAGAUCAGGGCCAUGAGCCAAGGCUUGGCCUUGCUGUGAGCAAGGGCUGUGAGGAAGAUUUGGCAAAAUUUUAAUUAACUGAAGAUAAACAUACAUGGGGAGAACCAGUCCAUUAGCUGUCCGUGCCACCUAGUGAGAAAAGGCCCGCUAAUCACACACCGCAGCAGCCCAGGAAAGGCAGAAACACACGCUCAGCACAAUGACGUUGGAAUGGAACUUCCCUGGAGGGUGGCCACUGGAAAUCAAGCCAAGGGAACCCAAAGUGAAGACCUGUCCUGGAGUCAGGCCCGGGCCAGUUGGGGCCAGAAGAGGAGGCGGGGCAGCCCUGUACCUGCCUGAGGUGCUGGUCUGCUCCCACCCUGACGACAAUGGAUUAAGCCUCUGAAGCUAGAUAAUGACAGAGCCACCCCUGAAUAUUUGAUCUGCAGCAUCCCUGGCUUCCACUUGCAUGAGACAUUUGGCGUGGUUCUCCUGUGCUCUGCAAGCCUGGCAGCUUGUGUUUCUCUCCUGCUGUGGCGCAGUGUGGGGCUUUGGACAGGCGCCUGACUGUUACGCUUCCCUUAAUGUUUUUGUUUGUGCUUCUGUCAAAUAUCUUCUUAAAGGUUGAUUCCUGUCCUCUCUUAAG
RNAcentral lists this small RNA (632 nucleotides) under Rattus norvegicus (Norway rat). RNAcentral's name for it is "uncharacterized LOC103691658". Lineage: Eukaryota; Metazoa; Chordata; Mammalia; Rodentia; Muridae. The record is from RNAcentral.